GAGGGUAUAGCUCAGUGGUAGAACAUGUGCUUAGAAUGCACGAGGCGCUGGGUUCAAUCCCCAGCACAUCCA
RNAcentral lists this transfer RNA (72 nucleotides) under Camelus bactrianus (Bactrian camel). It matches the Rfam family "tRNA". Rfam says of the family: Transfer RNA (tRNA) molecules are approximately 80 nucleotides in length. Their secondary structure includes four short double-helical elements and three loops (D, anti-codon, and T loops). Lineage: Eukaryota; Metazoa; Chordata; Mammalia; Artiodactyla; Camelidae. The record is from Rfam by way of RNAcentral. RNAcentral also lists the same sequence under 1 other name.